RNAcentral lists this long non-coding RNA (221 nucleotides) under Prunus persica (peach). Its description in RNAcentral is "long non-coding RNA (PPER_LNC000880)". The record is from RNAcentral. Lineage: Eukaryota; Viridiplantae; Streptophyta; Magnoliopsida; Rosales; Rosaceae.
UUUGGUCUAGAAACUUGUGUGACUAAACACAUUUAGUCAUAGCUAUUUAAGAUAUUAACUUGGAUAAUUAUAUCAUGAAAGCCAAUGAAUGUUUCCAUCGACUAAUUUAAACUUAGCCAAAUGCAUAGCUAAAUCACUUUUUUUUAAAAAAAAAAAAUCUAAUUUAAUCCAAGCUCUUUGAUUUUAGUAAAAUGAGUCAACUAAGGAAAACAUGUUUGGUG